This is a small nucleolar RNA of Marmota marmota marmota (Alpine marmot), 132 nucleotides long. Its record names the gene SNORA70. It matches the Rfam family "Small nucleolar RNA SNORA70". Rfam says of the family: snoRNA U70 seems to be exclusive to mammals and is a member of the H/ACA class of snoRNA which contain H (ANANNA) and ACA box motifs. H/ACA box snoRNAs are involved in the conversion of uridines to pseudouridines (5-ribosyluracil) a constituent of structural RNAs (transfer, ribosomal, small nuclear, and small nucleolar). The record is from Ensembl. NCBI's taxonomy places the organism in Eukaryota, Metazoa, Chordata, Mammalia, Rodentia, Sciuridae.
GUGUAAAAAAAGAUUAACACUUAAAAUAUUUUGUUAAGAAGGAACAAUGUGCAUUGGUUGCAAACAGCAGUCUCUUUGGUAGUGUGCAGCCUGUUGCUCAUAUGGUUGCCCAAAGAGACUUUGGAGACAGCA